This 19135-nucleotide long non-coding RNA is filed under the name Citrus sinensis (sweet orange). Its description in RNAcentral is "long non-coding RNA (CSIN_LNC003246)". Lineage: Eukaryota; Viridiplantae; Streptophyta; Magnoliopsida; Sapindales; Rutaceae. The record is from RNAcentral.
UUGGAUGUUCUACUUCUUCCUUAACAUCUGAUUCCAGGGAUCCAAAACGUACAUGUGAUUUAUCUUCUGGCAACUUCUUUUCAUCAAGACCGAUCAAGACUGGAGUUUCCAGACUAAUUUUCGCGAGAUGGUUUACUUUUUCAUUUAAGGUAGCGGACAACAGUAAAUUCUGCCUCUUAACAUUAGAAACUUCAUUUCCCUCACCAAUAGACCCAAUGUUCCUUGAACCCAAAAUAUCUAGUAUCUCCUCUAUUUCUUUUCCAAAUCCUAAUUCCAGAAUUCUGACAAGAAGCAUAAGAAAAAUUAGGGGAGGCACAAAAGACAUGAAACAGUAACGAAAUUAACAAUCCGUUAAAAUACUGCAACUGAACUCCAAUGAUAAAUACCUAUCUGCUUCAUCAAAUAUUAUCCAACACAAAUUUGUAUGCAAGAAUGAUGAUGUAUGCUUUAAGUGGUCCAAAAGACGUCCAGGUGUUGCAACAAGAAUAGAUAUGCCUGAAAAGAGUCAUAUGAAAUAUUAAUGUGUCUCUACAAAUCCAUCAACAACAGAUGAAGGAUAUUUCCACCAAACAUUCAUCCGACUUAAACCUGAAGACAUACAUACAUUGCCAUAAAUACCAGACCCAUCAAACCAGGCCAACGAAAAAAGAAAGAGAUGUAGAAAAUCUUCACCUUUACGCAACCUGGCUUUCUCUUUUGACCGGUUCUCCCCACCCAUUACAUAACCAGGCACAAUCCAAUGAAAACGAUGCAAUAACUUAUGUAAAAUCUCAUAAACCUGCAAGCAUAACUCACGGGUUGGCACAAGAACCAAUGCUGCCAGCAAGAACACAUCAAUUCAUCACACUACAUUAGAAAUAACAAUAACAAUAACAAUAAUAAAAGUAGUAACAAAAUACAAGUAAUCAAAGCUCAUCCUUACCAAAAGUUCCACUCGAGCGAUCAAUUCGAGGACUGUAACUCUGCAAGUGAUUAAUAAUGGGUGCUAAAUAAGCCACCGUCUUGCCCGUCCCAGUAGCCGCAUUAACAAGUCUAGAUAAUUUUUUUUUUCCACAUCAAACAAAGCUCAUUAUAAUCAAACAAAAACAUUAAAACUGGAACUAUUAAAAAGCAAAGAAAGGAUGAUUACACGUGUCGGCCAGAGAGAAUAACAGGGAUUGCUUGAGCCUGAACUUUUGUCGGAGCUUCAAAUCCAAGUCUUUCUGUCACCAAAUUACGAAUUUUUAUCAUCAUAAUUAACUUUAAAUUAAUGUUAAAAAAAACAAAAACAAAAGCAAACCUCGUAGCUGGUCGCAUAGAGUAGAGUGGAGGCCGAGACUGGAGAAGGAGCACGACGCGAAUAUUUCUUUUACUGUUUCUUUCUUCUUACUCAUUUUUAUCAUUCUUCUCCUUCUGCGAGAUUGUCUGGGAAUUUAGGGUUUUGGGAAAGAGCUGAAUUUUUUCAUCAGGGUUUAUCUAAACUACUAAAAACCAGAGAAACGACGCCGCAUCUAUUAAAAACGGCACGUCAUUUAUAGUGAGAAUAAGUAAAUUUCUUUUUCACCAGAACGACAUGUCAUAUAGAAUACUAACUAAUUGCACGAUGUAUCGUAACACCUCUAAUUUUUUUUUUAUUUGAAUUAGUAACGCCUCUAAUUUAGUUUAACAAACCUGCUAUACGCACGUAUUUGAUAUUAGUUUUCUUUGGAAGAACUUCCAUUAAAUUAUUGAAACAUUCUUUCCAUUGUUGACUAAAUGAAAGGGUUUAAUUGAAGAAAAUUUCACCCACACUUAAUUAUAUAUUUAUGCAAACAUCAAAUUGAUAUAUAAAAUAGUUAUAAAUCAUUGUAAUCAUCAGGAAACAAGUUAGAAGCAAUCGUUUACCUGUUCGGAGAAGAUAUGAAAGUUUAAUGUCACAUGUUGAUAUAGAGUUUGUAAAAUCACCAAAGGAAGGUUGGUCUAUGUCGGGUACAUUAGGUAAUCAAAAUGGUACGUGGGAUACACCAUAUCGAAGGAAGAAAAGUUAAAGAAAAUGAACAAAAUAUUAGUUACGUGAAAAAAUAUCAUCAUCGCCUAAAAAUUGAUUUUUUAGAAUCAAUCAAGGAAUAUUUUGCUAAAAAAGAGGGGACAAUAGACUGUCACACCAAUAAAAAGCACAAAACAACACAUCAGGACAGUGGUCUUUAAUUAUCACGCCAAAAACUGCCAAAUAAUUUUUUGAGAUAUGUUAGACCACCCAACAAUGUUUGCCAUGUGUAAAAGUGGAGAAACCGUGAUUACAACGCCCUAAUUGCUCUUCAAGAAUGCUACUAAUGGCCCAAAAUGAUGAUAAGAGUAAAAAAAUGAAAAAAUCCUUAUGAGGACAACAAAACCACCAAUAAAGAUGCACCUGGUGGUAAGGCAGCCAGGGAUCCCAGGCUAUUUUAUAUAAAGACACCAAAGCUCGAUCUUUUUCACUAGUAAUAAAACACACACUCUACAAAGGCUAAAAAUUUCUUCAACCUCCAACCAUCGUUACCAAAAGCUUGCAAGCUCAUGAUGCCAAAAUAGUCUUUAAAAAUUGACUUCAGCAUCGUAAUGUGAUUGCCAACCACCGCCGACUCCACCUCUAACCUCAUUUCUCUAUUUUGCAAGAUAAACACAAUCUUCAAGAUUGUGAACCGAACUUGAAGCGAACCAAAACCAAUUGGUUUUGAAAAUUGUAAACCAAACUUGAACCGAAUUUAGGAACCGAACCGAAUCGGUUCAAAUUUUUUAUUUUCUUGAUUUUACAGAUUUACCUUAAUAUUAUCAUAUUUAAUGCUUUCCACUUAAUUUUACUUAAUUUUGCCGUUUACACUCCCAUUAACUACCAAGUACCAAACCACACUCUACACACAUAAUAUUAAUAACAAUAUAUAUGAAUAAACAAGUAUAAAACCGUUAAAUCAAAGCAAAAUAAUAAAAGUCCUAAUACAAAAUAUUCGCAAUUCAUAAACACGCUUAAACUUAAAAGUCUACUACAAAUUGUAAGUCCAUGGCAACAAAAAAAAUAAUAAUAAUAACAAGUCCAUAAUAGUGCAUCAAUAUUCGAUAAAACUCCACCAUAACACAAGCCAUAACUACAUCCACCGCAACAAACAAGCCACAACUAUAUCCACAAUCCACAAUUCCACAUCACCUAAAUCAAAAUUCAAAGUGAGCGAAAGCAAAUAAUUAAACUAACUAAAAUGAAGUGAUAUUUAAUAACAAAUAAAUACAUAUCAAUUUAUUACCUAAAAAUUAUUUAUGUUGAUCUUCCAAGUUAGUUGGCAGUUGUUGACUUACGAAGUUCUACAUUAAAAAAAAUUAACAAAUUAAAUAAGGUUCAUAUUACUUAAAAAAUAAAUUAAAAUUAAACAAAUUGUAUAAGGUCAUAAUUCUUUAAAAGUAAACUUAAAUUAAAAUUAAACAAAAUAUACAUUCCGCAAGUUGAUCCAUAAACUCGUUGUGUUCAACUAACUUAUUUAAGUUCGUUGUUGGAUCCACAAAAAGAGAAGACUGCAACAAAUUCUGUAAUAAUACUAGUGCCUCAACUAUGUCCGGAGUAAAAAAAACUUCUAUAUUGGUUUAGAAUACAACCUCCAGUACUAAAGGCGGAUUCGGAGGCAAUAGUAGACACCGGAAUAGCAAGAACAUCCCUUGCUAUAAGUGACAAAAUUGGAUAAUUGACAUUAUUCACCCUCCACUAUAACAAAAUAUCAAAUUUAAUUCCUAAAUUACCUUUUGCAAUUUUUUCCGUCUUCUCCAUCAAGUAAAGAUCCAACUCAUUUGACAAUUCCGGGCUACUUUCACUAAAUUCGGAGAAAGAGUCCUCAAUCAUAACAUCAUCAUCACCACUCAAAUCCCAAAAAUUCGAACCACUUCCACUUUCAAUAUCUAAAAUUUGGCUUCCACUUGCACUCCCACUACCACCCGAUUUAUAUUGUGCAUUGUAAGACUCAUAAAGCUUAGUCAACAAAUCUUUCACAAUUUCUUUCAUCUAAACACAUUUGGCAUUAUCCUUGCCAUAUAAUUUCUUAAAGCAAUGUGUUGCAAAUUUCAGUUUUCCUCGUGGAUCAAGUACAGAAGCAACAAUCAAUAUUUUAUUUAUCUUGAAACAGCCCUCCCAAUACUUAUCAAAUUUAUCUUUCAUUUUAAUAGUCAUCAAACUCAAAAGGCUAUCAUUACUAGCAGACAACGAUUCCAAAGAUUGUUCAAUUUAAUAUAUCAAAUUGCAACAAGUGUUCGAUGUCACCUAAAAUAAAUUCUAUAUCAUAUAUCAAAAUUCAAAAGCAUAAUAAUGCUAAAAUAAAUUCCAUAUCAUAUAUCAAAAUUCAAAAUCACAAUAAAGCUAAAAUAAAUUCCAUAUUGCAUAUAUCAAAAUUCAAAAGCAUAAUAAAGAUGUGAUAUUACCUUCAAAGAAUAAGAAAAGUACAAAGUUGCAUUAUAAAAAGUCUUCAGAAAUUUAACUAUGCAACGAGCACUCUCUCAAUCACUAUACAGCGGUGGCCCCUCCCUUUUCUUCUUCGCCCCCUCUUUUUCAUUGAAAUAAGCAUCAUAAAGCUUAUCUUCAAGUGUCAUCCGAUUAAAUGCCGGCUUAAAUUUCAAUGCUGUACUCAACAUGGAAUAUGUAGAAUUCCACUGAGUAAGGCAAUCCAAAAUCACACUUACUCGGGAAUUAAUCUUCUUUUGUUGCACGCGAAUUUGAAAUGCUUGCAUCAUGGCGGUGGAAGACCUCACAUUCUUCACAGCAUUCCGAACACCAACUAUACUCGGCUCAAGUUCCUUCAACCCUUCAGUCACAAUCAAAUUCAAUUUGUGUGCACAACAACGAACACACAAAUAAUCCUCAUUUAACACUAAGGCAUCAUCCCUCAAAUUCUUUAGUCGAUCAAUUAAGUGUUAAGAUACAUUGCCCACCAAAUGUGGAAUUCGAACAGUCACAACACAUGAACCACAUGCAGCCACAUGAGUCACGCACCAAUAUGGAAAAAAUCAGCACACCAACUCAAUCCCACAUUAACAAGGCAAGUUGCAAACCGUUGGAAACAAAUAUGGCAAUCUGUAUUGCUCUUGCCAAAGGCUUGCAACAAUCAUCUCACACAAUCCCGUGACAUGCAAACUCACCAAAGAAAGAUGGCCAGUCAUUAUUCAAGUCCAUAUUCUCUUCAUAUCCUGCUGUACGGCCAAGGCGGAUGUACGGUACAGCAGGAAGAAUUUAGUGUCAAGGUUAAACUCCUUCAGCUUUUUUGUGGUCUUUGAUCCCCCCUUUUUUUUAUGUGACAGUCUAGCUGCCAUUGGAAAGCCCUUGACGGAUGAUGACAAAGUCUUUCAAUUGGCACGGGCACUAGGAUCCAAGUAUGCCGACUUCAAAACGGCUAUGCUAACCAAGCCACCUUAUCCAAGUUUGAAACUAUUCCUGUCAGCCUUGCAGAAUCAUGAGCAGACUGUGAUCGCUCAGAAGAAUGAUGGCAAAGAAGCGGAUCCACAGCAAGCCUUCUUUGGGCAACGUGGACGUGGGAAAAGUUUUCAAGGACAAGGACAAGGACAAGGACGCGGCUUCAACAACAAUCUUCCACUUUUCCCAGGACAAUGACGCGGCUUUAACAACAACUUUCAUGAAAGAGGAAAUUAUCCCUCUAACAAUGGGCACAACAAUAUGAAUCAAUCUUUCAAUAUGAAUCAAUCACCCUCUAACAACUCUCUGCCAUAACCAAGGUUCAACAAUAAUGGCCCAAAUCUGCCACUUGCACCAAAACACUACAGUACAGAACAUGUUGAUCAGCGAAAACACAAUUCCAAAUCAGGUAUAAUCUGUCAAAUUUGUGGUAAAACUAACCACAGUGUUGCAGUUUGUAGGCACAGGUAUGACUACUUUACCCCUGAAGAGGAAGCACUGCAAGCCCUCGCGGCCAUGAAUCUGCAAGACGAGAAUGACCCACAACUUUAUGCUGAUUCAGGUGCUACUGCCCACAUGGUAAAUAGCACUGAUAAGUUAAAGAAAUUUAUACCCUAUGGAGGUUCUGAUAAGAUUUUUGUAGGGAAUGGCCAAAGCUUACAUAUUUCUCAUAUCGGUGAUACCAUACAAAAGCUUACAUAUUUCUCAUAUCGGUGAUCCUAUGGAGGUUCUGAUAAGAUUUUUGUAGGGAAUGGCCAAAGCUUACAUAUUUCUCAUAUCGGUGAUACCACACAUGGGAAAUUAAACUUGAAAGAUAUUUUGGUUGUUCCCAAACUUAAAAAGAACCUCCUGUCAGUAAGCAAACUUGUGGAUGAUAUAAAUUGUUCUGUGGAAUUUAACUCUCUUGGUUUUGUUGUAAAGAGCACGUGUAAAUUGGUUGGCUUGAUUUUCUUUCAAACUUGAAAGUAAAUUUGGCUUGUUUUGAGUUACGCUGCUACACAUCUCAAAUUAUCUCGAAUAAUGUGGCAUUCAUCAAUUGGUUAGUGAGAAAUUAACCCACUUAGAUUUUUUAAAGAAUUAUCAACAAAGAAGAAACUCAGAAAACCAAGAGCAAGGAGAAUCAGGUACUGGCUCAGGGAACUAGGCAGGGGGACUUGUACGUGCUCAAUGAAGGAGGAAACUUAGCUUUUCAAACAAUAAGAAGAAACUCAGAAAACCAAGACUUGUGGCAUAAGAGACUUGGCCACCCAAGUCCUAAAAUAUUACAAGUCUUGCGCACUAAUGGGUCUAUCAGUAUAACUGAUUAGACUAAGAACACUAGUAUUUGUGUUUCAUGCCAAUUAGGCAAAAUCUGUAAACUCCCAUUCAGUUUAUCAAAUAAAAUUUUUGAUUUCCCUCUUGAUAAAAUUCACUGUGAUUUAUGGGGUCCUGCUCCAAUUGCUUCUAAUCAAGGUUUUCGUUACUAUGUAUUGUUUGUGGAUGAUUGUACACGUUAUUGUUGGUUAUUUCCCUUAAAAUCAAAAUCUGAUUUUUUUGAGUGUUUUCUUAAAUUCCAAAAACAAGUGGAAAAUCAGAUGGAAUGAAAGAUCAAAAUUUUUCAAAGUGAUGGCGGGGGAGAAUUUAACUCUAUCAUUUUCCAACAACAUCUUCAACAAUCUGGAAUCAUCAAACAAACUUCAUGCCCUUAUACUCCUCAACAAAAUGGAGUUGCCGAAAGGAAACAUAGACAUAUAAUGGAGACUGCCCUUACUAUGUUAUUUGAAUCUUCGUUACCAUUAAAAUAUUGGGUGGAGGCUGUUUUAACAACUGUAUAUCUCAUUAAUAAAUUGCCACAAACAAUUAUUAAGAUGCACACACCUCAUGAGUUACUUUUUAAGGAAACUCCCAGUUACAAUGAAAUUAAAGUUUUUGGUUGCCGUUGUUUUCCCUCUCUGAGGGAUUACAAUAAAACGAAGUUUGACAAAAAAAACUCUCCCUUGUAUUUUUGUUGGUUACAGUCCCACUCACAAGGGAUACUGCUGUCUUUUUCCACAAAAUAAUAGAAUUUAUAUUUCUCGUCAUGUAACAUUUGAUGAAUUAUGUUUUCCUUAUCAAAAUCUAAAAGAUUCUUCUCCUGUACAGGAUGCUUGUAGCAUUCCCACUACUCCAAAUGUGUCACAAUGGCUCCCAACAACUUGGACAGAGUCCUUCAACAACACUUCUCUUGGGCACAUUAAAGUUGCUAAUCCAAACUACACUGCCACAUCUCCAAAUACGAAUGAACCAUUGUCUCUCACUCCAAACAAAGUUGUGAUAAUUGAAGACCUUCAUGAACCACCCACUUAUUUACCCGAAAGUCCCUCUACAAAUUCACCUCAAAAGAGCCCCUCAUCCAAUAACAAGACUGCUGCUUCUGCCGAUAAUACACAUAUCCACACGACCUCCGAACAAACCUUAGAUAGUGACAAUCGUGCUCCAUCUACCUUAAACGAUCUCUCAGGAAAGUUGUUCGUUGAACUAAAUAUCUCUCCUGUCAAAACAACAGAAUCUCUAAAUACACAUCCUAUGCUGACACGCAACAAGCUCAAACAAAAUCCUACCUUAGCUCUUCAAACCGAUCAUGCCACAGUGACCGAACCAAAAACAUUAAAAUCUGCUCUUAAGCAUCCUCUAUGGCUACAAGCAAUGGCCGAAGAACUUGCUGCCCUCCAUCAAAAUAAGACAUGGACCUUAGUUCCUCGACCUUAUGAUGCCAAUGUUAUUGGUUCGAAGUGGGUUUAUAAAACCAAGUAUAGAGAAGAUGGUACAAUAGAUCGGUUAAAAGCCUGUUUAGUUGUGAAGGGGUACACACAAGUUCCUGACAUUGACUUUAACGAGACUUUCAGCCCCGUCAUUAAGCCAUCUACCAUAAGGCUUGUCUUAGCACUUGCAAACUAGUUCUAAAUGGCUUAUCAAACAACUGGAUGUUCGAAAUACCUUCCUUCAUGGUCAACUAAAAGAAAUUGCCUACAUGGAGCAACCACCUGGCUUUACGGAUCAAAAUCUUCUAAUAACACAAGUGCCAUCUACAUGACUCGCAACCCCGUGUUUCAUGCGCGCAGCCGACCAUGUUUACUUACUCCACAAGUCCUUAUAUGGACUCAAACAAGCACCACGUGCCUGGUUUGAAUGUUUAUCAUUAGCACUUCUAGAGCUUGGUUUUACAAGCUGCAAAGCCGAUCCUUCCCUCUUUAUUUUUCAUGCUAACGAUAUUCUUAUUUUGUUGUUGGUGUAUGUAGAUGAUGUAAUUAUUACAGGAAAUAAUCCCGAUAGAAUUCAAUCCAUCAUCAGUCAUCUCAGCACUCGGUUUGCAUUAAAAGACUUAGGCUUAUUGAGCUAUUUUUUAGGGAUCGAGAUUCGGCGCUUUCCAGGAGGCAUUUUUUUGUCACAAGCCAAAUACACUCGUGACUUAUUAACCAAGGCUGCUUUACUAGAUUGCACCUCUAAUCGGACCCCAAUGGCUGUCAAAACCCAACCAUAUGAUGACGAUCAAGAACCCAUACACGCCACUCACUAUCGUUCCCUUGUCGGCAGUCUAUAAUAUCUCACAUUCACCAAACCAUACAUCACUCAUGCUGUCAAUAAAGUUUGUCAACACUUUCAGAGCCCUACUAAACAAGACCUCAAGGCUGUUACAAGAAUUUUGCGUUAUCUUAAAGGCACUCUCGACUUUGGACUUCGAUUGGGCUGGUUGCCUUGAAACAAGACGUAGCACGACUGGCUUUUGUGUUUACCUUGGGGCAAACUUAAUCUCAUGGUGUAGCAAGAAACAAAGCACCGUUGCACGCUCCACUGGGGGGCUGUUAAGAUACAUUGCCCACCAAAUGUGGAAUUCGAACAGUCACAACACAUGAACCACAUGCAGCCACAUGAGUCACGCACCAAUAUGGAAAAAAUCAGCACACCAACUCAAUCCCACAUUAACAAGGCAAGUUGCAAACCGUUGGAAACAAAUAUGGCAAUCUGUAUUGCUAAUGCCAAAGGCUUGCAACAAUCAUCUCACACAAUCCCGUGACAUGCAAACUCACCAAAGAAAGAUAGCCAGCCAUUAUUCAAGUCCAUAUUCUCUUCAUAUCUUAGCCAACGGCUAGUCAACGACUAAGUUUAGAAUUAAUCUCAUAAUUUCUGUAAAAUGUUUCUUCCAUAUAUAGUUCCUCUACUAGUGUAUAAAUACCCGAUCUUGUUCCUUAAGAAGGGAAGUCAAUAAAAACUUUUAAUUCUUUUCAAUACUCUUGAAUUUUAGCAUUAAGUACCUAAGAGCACCCUCAUUUGGACUUGUAUUGUCAAUCGUUACAGCACACACUCGCUCUAUGCCCUAGUCAAUUAAAUAUUUUUCAAUUUGCUUACCAAUUGUCUCCGAUGAAUUAUCAUUAACCGUGUUAAAGCUGGGAAUCUUUCUAUGUAAAUUCCAAUCCUUGUCAAUAAAGUGAGUUGUGAUAACCAUGUAUCUAACUGUCGUAAUAGAAGUCCAAAUAUCAGUGGUCAAAAAUACUCUCUGCUUAUUUCCAACCAAUAAGCUCUUCAACUUUACCUUUUCCUCGACAUACAUAUCAAGAGUAUCCAUAGUAAUGGUUCUUUGUGAUGGAAGAAGAUAUCUAGAAGCUGCCACGCUGCAAAAAUGCUUAAAACCCGGAUUCUCUACAACAGAAAAAGGCAAUUCAUCAAGAACAAUCAUCUUAAUAAUUGCUCGUCUGCAAGCGUCCCAACUAAGACCUCUUACUACAAUUUCAUCACUACCGACAUCUUGAGUUAAAGUCGUUUGGUCUUGCUGAAGGUCUUUGUACUUUUGACACAUUUCUUGGUAAUGAGUCCUCAAAGUGCUAGUUCCGUCCCCUACCGAGCCACAUUCAAAUUCAUUACCGCAGUAGUUGCAUUUGCACUUCUUAUUAUUAUCUGGAAGUCUAGUAAAAUGUUGCCACACUGCUGAUCUUGGAGCCAUUUUUUUCCUUGGUAGUGGCGGUUUGGAUGACGAAGACUUUUUCCUCUUGUUUCUGCUAGUGACAAUUGUUGGCGAAUCAUUUUCACUAUCAUCAACUUCAACUUCACGCUCAAGAUCAUCGGCUACACAAUCGAGGUUGUCUUGAACUCUUGAAUAAUUAGACAUCUUCAAUGAAUAAAAUAAAAAAUAAAUAAGUAAUAUUGUUUUAUUAACAAGGUAUUGAAAUGAAAAAGAUCAAUUACAUUUAAUUUAACUACUAGCCAACAUAUCAUAAUUUAAUUUAAUUUAAUAAGUUAGGCCAACUUAUCAUAAUUUACUUCCAAUAAUUGUUAAUUUAAUUUUAAAUGUUCAUGACAAAAAGAUCAAUUAAAUUAAAUUUAACUAAUAGCCAACAUAUCAUAAUUUAAUUUAAUUUAACAAAUUAAGCCAACAUGACAACAUAUCAUAAUUUACUUCCAGUAAUUGUUGAUUUAAUUCAAAAAAUCCAUGCCAAAAAGAUCAAUUAAAUUUAAAUUAACUACUAGCCAACAAAUCAUAAUUUAAUUUAACAAAUUAAGCCAACAUAUCAUAAUUUACUUCCAAUAAUUGUUGAUUUAAUUUAAAACAUCCAUGCCAAAAAGAUCAAUUAAAGUUAAAUUAACUACUAGCUAAUAAAUCAUAAUUUAAUUUAACAAAUUAAGCCAACAUAUCUUAAUUUACUUCCAAUAAUUAUUAAUUUAAUUUGAAUUGUCCAUGCCAAAUUGCAAUUCACGAAGCUAAUUAAGUCAUUAAUCAUUAUGUCAAAUAAGUUAAAUAACAAAUAUUAUUUCUAAUUUUUCAUUGAUAGAAGCAUUAUACAUUUAUCUAUUUUCAAUUGUUCUAUUCCCAGCCACAAUAUACAAUGCAACAUUACAACCAUUUCAGUUCACUGCCACAACUCAUAAGCCUCCACAACCACUAUAUUUGCCCACCAUUUUUAACUCCACCAACAAGUAUAUUAUAUACCUCAGCAGUCCACAAAAUCAAAUAAUCAAUCCCUAACACAAGUAACACUAGCAUAAACUAAAGACUCUUUACACACUCUGUACGGGCCAUGCCAUAAAUUAAAAAAAAAAAACACCUUUAGGUUGCAGCACCAAAGAGAGGGGUUGUGCUAGGCGUGUGAGGGGCCGUGCUAGGUUGCAACAUCGCGUGUGAGAGGGGUUGAGCUGACGCGAGGGAGAGACGCUCACAAGGAAGAAGCCGAGACAUAGGGGCUGAGCUGAAGUUCUACACCUUGUGGAGAGGGAGAAAUGUGCGACAGAGGGAGGUGUUGGAGAUGAGAGGGAGAUGGUGGGUUGCAAAUUGAAACGCAGGUAGGGAUUUGAGAGAUUUGUUUUUGGUUUAUAUAUUUUCAUUUAUUUUUCAAUUAAAAAAUUUAUUUAUAAUUAAACCAAACCAAAUCGAAUAAAAACCAAUCGGUUCCUUAAUUUCAGUUUGGCUCGACAAAAACCAAAUAGUUUGCUCACCCCUACUUUUUCCGAAGAAAAAUACAGGAUGAUAUCACAUACCCCUUUAAUGAUACCUUAACAUAACAUUAAGGGUCACUAUUGGUCAAGUGACAAGAAUGUUGAUUGACACCAGUAGCUCCUUAAACAUUAUCUUUAAGAGCGCGUUAGAUCAAUUGCUAAUUGAAUCUUAAAAAAUUACUCCAACCAAUAUGCCGCUUAUUGGUUUUACUGAGGAUGUUUUCAUUCCUAAAAGCAUCAUUACAUUGCUCAUUUCUAUUGGCAAAGUACCCAACAAAGUUAUCCAGAUGAUUGACUUCCUCAUUAUGGAUUGCCUAGGUGCUUGUAAUAUCAUUCCGAGCAAACCAUUUUUAACAAAAACUAAAGCGGUGGUAUCUAUGCAUUACCUUAUCAUGAAAAUUCUAACUACCAAAGAUAUUAUCACCAUAAAUAGAGACCAGUAGGCAGCUCAAGGUUGCUAUAUUGUCGCCUCUAAAGAAAGCUAUUAAAUUGCUUCUGAGGCCCAGUUGAAGGUGUACCUCACCGAGAUAGCUUAUCAUCACACAAGGAACUGGUUCGCCUAACCAAGCAAGCAUUUGUCAGAAAAAGGAAAAGUGCCAAUAAAAAAGUUUCACAAGCACGCCAACCGUAAAUUGCAAGGGGAUCCACUUAUAGAAGUAGACUCAAUAAAUAUUAAGACAUCAGAAGUGCUCGAUGAUACACACUCAAAAUUCAUAGGCCUCGUUCGACUGUUAAAACUCAAGUCAUUGUUGAUUUCUUAACUAAAUUCCCUAAUGACUCCAAGGGUGUGGGAAUCUUGGGAUACCCGAACAAGGGAACGCCCACUACAAAAGAAGAACAAAUCUAGAUUGCAUUGAUGGCUCUCCUACACAUGAAAGUGGUGUGGGAGUAACCAUCAUCAACCCUAAUAGAGAGAAGCCAUACUAAUAAUAAAGGGAUAACACUUCACCUCCUUAUAUUUGUUUCGUUUGUUUUCUUUAAUGCUUAUGUAUUUGUAAUAUGUGAUUAGUCAUGAGGGGUACCCAAAGUAACCAAGCUAUUCAAUUGCAUAUUUUUUUUUAAUUUCUUAAGUCUCCAACAACAAGAACAGGUGAUCCCGGGAUUCGUAAUCCACCUUAGAUAACAAAAAUAGUGUCAUAUAAUGAUUCAUACCUCUACUACCUAUAAAUACAUUUCCUUUGCAAAAUAUGAUGAUGUGUGCUCUUUUGUUUGCCUUUUGAUUAUUUAAAAUGGAUGAGUAGUUUCAAAUGUUAUUCAAUAAGAAUAUGUGUGCCAUUAAACUAACUUUAUAUUUAUCAUUAUGUAGCGUUUAUUAUGACGCAACAUAAUAUCAAGAGAUUGCCUUAUUCUAGAGAAAACUAAGGCAUUUGACCUGUCGUGAUCAUAAUAAUCUACUCUAAAAUUAGACUCAUCAGAAAGAAUGUAAAAAGAUCAUUAGUAGCUUUUUAGAGUGAUUAUAUGCCUGCUUGAAUGAAGAGUGUGAGAAUCAAAGAAAACCCAAGGGUGAAGUAUACAGUGAUACCCUAGUGUCAUAAGGAUUCAUUAAGAUAUACAUGUGCCCACACUUCUAUUUUCUUGCUUAAAAGUGAGGGAUAGACAACUUAUGAGUGAAGGACAAUCACAUGAAUUAGAUGUUCGAAGUACUUAUAAAGGCAGACGAGCAGUCGUCUUUGUCAUUAUUCAUCUUACUAAUUUGAUUUUAAGCAAAUGGCAAAUUAUGAGAUUUUUUACUAUUUUAUGAAAAAGGACAACAAAGGACUUUAAGAAAGCUCAAAAAGAGCAAGAAAAAAAUUCUUAUCUUUGUUAUUACGCCAAUUGUGGUUUUGCAUGCUUAAUCAAUUUGUCGUGCCGAUACUUUGAUCAUUGAUUACAUGUUAAGAAUCACCAUGAUCUUCUAAAAACAAACAGCAAAUAUAUCUAGAUAAGUCGUCAUACUGUAAUGAAAUUGAGUUGCUCCACCAUAAAGAAAGAGAUAGCUCAAUGAAUGUUUAAGCUAAGAAGUACAUGAAGUACCACAUAAGUUGAAUCAAGUUUUAGAAUGCAUUAAAGAGACAACAUCCAAAGCUAUGGAAAAUGAAAAUACCAUUAUAGGCAGUCAUAAAAUAAAAGGAAUUUGUGAGUACAACAUUGAAGCAAUUAAAAUACACUAACAAAACAAGGAAUAACAGGUAAUCGAGAAAAUAUUUUCAAGUACAUAACUGGGGAAAAGUGCCAACAUACAAACAAUAAUGCCAAACAAAGUUACAUAGCAAGUAGAUCAUCUUCACCUUUGUCUUUUAUAAUAGGGAGAUCAAUAAAAGCGCUGGAUGUAGCAGAAGCAUGAGCUUCGAAAGUUAAGGUUCUUGAUGGUGACUUUGGCUGAGGUACGCCGGAUAACCUUUGUAGGCUCCCAGAUUGGGGCAAACAGGAUUCCCUUUCGAUCUCGAUCGCAGCCAAGAUAGCCGACUUAUCUACCCACUUCUCCACUCUAGGCACCACAAGCCCCGGAUCAACACUCCACACCUCAGUCAUAAUACGCUCGAAUACACUGUCAAUCAUCUCUUUCUGCUGAGAUACCAAGUCCUCAUGCUUAGCUUGGAGCUCCUCAAGAUCUUUCAUCAUACGAGCCUUCUCCUUGGAAACUUCAUUAAGGCGUCCCUUCAAAGUUUUGUUUUCUCUCGAGAGCUUCUCCUCAUAGGAUCUGCAGCUUUGGAGCUCACUCUUUAGCUUUUCAUUCUCCAACUGAACGUUGGCAAUAGCUGCGAGAUCUUGGAGGCUACGACUCAGGAGGAAAGUCACCCGCAACCAACAAAGGGUACCCUAAAAUUAAGUGAAUCGAGAAACAGAAGGAGAAAACAUAAUGAAAAAGGUACUCACAUCCUGACUAGCCUUUAGCGCUCGGUUAUAACAUUCAUCUAGACCCAACUUGUCCAUCUCCCCAGCCACCUCGGGAGUAAUGUUCUCGCUAGUGUAAUGGACAUAUUCCGCCAAAUGGGAAACCUUUUUGUUUGCCACUGGAUCUAGUUCACCUUCUAUAAAGUCUUCAGGGAGGGAGAAGAGGGAGCCCACUUUUCUUUUCCCAGUACCCAAGGUACCUCUGAAGUCGCUUAGAGAGGAGUCAUGCAAUUUUAUUUUCGUUCCAAGGGCACAUAGAGGAAGGGUACCCUUCAGUGAGGUGGAUCCUGUGGUAACUGAGGAACCACUUCUCAAACGGUUGAAAAAGGCAUCAAAGUCUUCGCUGGAUCGAUCUAUAUCUGCAAAUCGCCAUACAAAACAAGAUGAAAAGGUCAGACAAUCAAAAUAAAGCCUAUGAACAUAAAUAAAAGAGGGGUCAAAAGCAACAAAAAUACAAAACUGAAAAAUAAAAUAUAGGGUGAUAAAAGGGUACCUCUAAAACACGCUAUAGGCAUGUAUCAAUCCUCACCUGGAGUAGACGAGGGAUUUUGGCUAAUCAACCCCAGCCUCUCCCACUUGUCCACACUCAAUAAAUCACUCUCUCUUUGAAGCACUAAAAAUCUCUCCUAAAAAAGAGCCUCCUUCUUACUCAUCUCCUAUACAAGACACUUCCCCUUGAUCCAUAUAAUAUCUACAAGGUCACGAGGAAAAAAAAAAAAAAGAGGAAAAAGGGGAAGGGACACAUACUACCUUCAUCAAACGAGCUUUUCAUUGACAAACGCUCGUUGUCAACCAAAAUAUCAUGCCUUUAAUCCCCAUCCAUCACAAACCAACCAUAUUUAUAACCUUUCUUUAAAGUAAGGUCCACUUAUACUAUGUACCAUGGGUAGGCCAUGUGGAAAAAUAAGCAACAAAUGAGCCUACAGGCUUCUUUAAUUAAUAAAAUCCUUCAACUCUUCAAAGGAGAUAUCCUCCCCGAAUACCUCCAAGCGCAACACUUAGAGGCCUAUAAGCAUUAUUCAUGUUGGUAAGAAAAGCUAUCUAAAGGCAGUCUAGAGAUAACUAAGCAUUCUCUUAAAGAAAGGUUAGACGGGUAGUUAAGGGCGGAAAAAUUCGGGUUUGAAUCGGGUUUGGAUAAACUCGAUUGAAUUUCAAGUCAAUCAGGUUGGAAAAAAUAUAACUUGAAUUUAACUCGAACAUGAGACCCAAUUCGAUCCGAAGGAUUGGAUCGGGUUAAAGGAUUGUACUUGUUUUAGCUUUGAUUUUUUCGGAUUUCGAAUCAACUUGAUUCGAUCAUGAUCCGAUCCGAUUGUGUUGGCCAAAAUCCAACCCAAUCGGGUUAGAGCCUUCAUCCGAAUCCGAUCUAAAUCUGAAUUUUUUUUAUCAGAUCGGUCCGAGUCCGAUCAUUGCCCACCCCUAGGGGUAGCGGAGAUCGCUGUCAAAAAAGUCGAUGUGUAAAGCUAUUCCGACUGUGGCAGGGCAUUUCAAGGUUUUGUUUUUUCAGGGUGCCUAAGUUCAACAUAUAAAAGGAUAUCAUAUUCGACCCAAAUAUGCUCUAGAUCUUUAGAGGUAGCCUUCCCCCACAAAGAAUUAGGUUUAUAAGAUUUAGAGGCAGAAAGAGAAGGUGAUUAUGGGUUGUGAUUUGAGCUUUACCCUUUCCUCUAGACUCAUAAACAAGGAAUUUACUUCCAAAAUUGGGCCCCCGGGUAUGAGGAAUUUCACUAGAAAUCCUAGGGCUUUUACUGCUAAUGUUGACAUUACAGGAAGUCUCAAUACCAUGGCUGCCACCCUCUGAGCCAGGCAGGGAGGGUUUGGCACUCACUAAUUUCCAUGCGGGUAACCAACUAAGGCGAGGAGCCGCCCUCAUUGGAACCUUCUACUAUGCUACACCCCUUAAUCCCGAUCCUCUUUUUACCCAUCUUUCUUAAAAACACAAAAGCAAGACCCCAAAUCAAAACUUACAAACCAAGACCUACAAACCAUACCCCUACUAACUCAUCUAACAACUUUAAAGCUCAUACACCAAAAGUUACAAAUCCAAGCACAAAAAAAAGGCAUAAAUUGGGGAUUUUUGCUUAAAAUCCAAAAUGAAAAGUCCAUAUAGCGAGCUAUAUGGGUAAAAAGAGGAAAAAUGGAGUACUUAGAGAUCACGAAAGGAAAAAUCUAAGUGCCACAAAAUUGGAUCUAAGAGCAAGGAACAACGUAUGCUGCAAAAAAGAGAAAGUGAGGUGAGUCACCUUGCAAAUCCCGAGGGAAAAAAAGAGAAAAAGAAGUGAAAAGGACGAGAGCCACUAUACUUGGUGGACGACGGAGGAGAGAGAGCCAAGGUUACCGCAAAACGAGCACCAAAAUCAUCACUAUAACGCAUAAGAAAGGAACACCUUUUUGUGAAUUUUUUUGACGAUGAGAAACAUAUGAAAGAGAAAGAAAAAGAAAAAACAAGAGAACUUGGGAAAUAGGAGUACCUGGUUAACAUCACCGGAGUAGAACGCGAACCACCGUUGCGGCACUUGAGAGUGGAGAAGAGAAAUUCUAGGUAUUUUCAACAAAGAAGGAAGAGGCACGGAAGGAGGAGAAAAAAAGAAGUAAAACGAUAAAGGGAGAAAUGGUGUGGGAAUGUGAGCAUCUUCACUUAUAUUGAGAGAAGAAGAGCAAGAAUAACAGAAAAUUUUAGGGAUUUCGAAAAGGGAUGGGAAAAAGGAAAGAAGGAAAAAAAGUAGUCAAGGUACUACUUCAUUAAUCAUCCAUCUACGAGGAGUGGCCAAACAUGCGCCAUUCGCAAUUCUUCUAAGAGUUUCUUAUGCCUCAAACAUUAUUAAAAAACUGGAGGAAUAUUGUUUGGGGAAGAAAUGAAAGUUUAAUAACAGAACGCCACGUGUCAAUAUAGAGUUUGCAAAGUCAUCGAAAGGAGGUUUGUCUAUGCUGGGUACACCAGGUAAUCAAAAUGAUACGCGGGAUACACCACAUCAAAGGAAGAAAGGUUAAAGAAAAUAAAUUAAAUAUCAGCCAUGUGAAAUGUCUUCAUCGCCUAAAAAGAACAAUUGAUUUUUUACAAUUAAUUAAGAAAUAUUUUGCUUAAAAUAANNNNNNNNNNNNNNNNNNNNNNNNNNNNNNNNNNNNNNNNNNNNNNNNNNNNNNNNNNNNNNNNNNNNNNNNNNNNNNNNNNNNNNNNNNNNNNNNNNNNNNNNNNNNNNNNNNNNNNNNNNNNNNNNNNNNNNNNNNNNNNNNNNNCGUACAGCAGGGGGGGAGUAGGUUGUCACAUUAGCAAAAAAACACAAAACAGCACAUCAAGACAAUGAUCCUCAACUGCCACGUUAGACACUGCCAAAUCAAUUUUUACAGAGAAAUGUUGGACCACCCAGCAGUGUCGUGUAGAAGUAGACUAACUAUGAUCAUAACGCCCUACUUACUCUCUAAGAAUGCUCCUAACGACCCAAAAUGAUAAUAAGAGUAAAAGGACAAAAAAAUCUUUGUAAGGACAGCAGAAUCGCCAAUAGAAAUGCGCCAGGUAGUAAGGCAGCCAAAGACCCUAGGGUACUUUAUAUAAAGACAUCAAGGUUAUAUUUUUCUCACUAAUAAUAAAACACAUACUCCAAAAGGCUAAGGUAUUCUUCGACCUCCAGCCGUCAUUAUCAAGAGUUUGCAAGUUCUUGACUUCAAAAUAGUCUUAAAAACUAACUUGUGCAUCGGAAUGUAGUCGCCGGCCACUGCCGGCUCCACCUCUAACCUCCUUUCUCUAUUUUGCAGGAUUAACACAACCUUCAAACCAACUCUUUUCAGAUUUAAGCCCUCACAACAUCCUCAUUUUUUCCAUCCUCUCUCAAACUUCACCUAAGGCCAUAACGAGCAGCACACUUCAGCUACACGAGGCACCUCUAUUACCUUAAUACAAGUUUCAUUGUUUUAGCUAGGUUUUUGUUUUUUAUUUUUUCUUUCACCCCAAAACCUAGUUAAAACAAUUGGUGCCAUCUAGGUAGUGGGAGCGCACAAAAAUUCAUUAAUAGUCUUAGAACACUCUACCAAAUGAGACUUCUUUUUCUUUUUCAAUAAUUACCCAGAAAUAUUUAAUUUUUGUUAAGAUAUACCUUUCACAUAUCUUUGAACCAAUUUAGCUGGAAGCAUAAAGUCUUCAGUUGAAGAGCUCAGAGUUGUGUUUGGAUGUUCUACUUCUUCCUUAACAUCUGAUUCCAGAGAUCCAAAAUGUACAUUUGAUUUAUCUUCUGGAAACUUCUUUUCAUCAAGACCGAUCAAGACUGGAGUUUCUAGACUAAUUUUAGUGAGAUGGUUUACUUUUUCAUUUAAGGUAGCAGACAAUAGUAAAUUCUGCCUCUUCACAUUAGAGACUUCAUUUCCCUCACCAAUAGACGCAAUGUUCCUUGAACCCAAAAUAUCUAGUAUCUCCUCUAUUUCUUUUCCAAAUCCUAAUUCCAGAAUUCUGAC